UGGGGAAUUUUGGACAAUGGACGCAAGUCUGAUCCAGCCAUUCCGCGUGCAGGAUGAAGGCCCUCGGGUUGUAAACUGCUUUUGGACGGAACGAAAAGCCGCUUUCUAAUACAGAGCGGUCAUGACGGUACCGUCAGAAUAAGCACCGGCUAACUACGUGCCAGCAGCCGCGGUAAUACGUAGGGUGCAAGCGUUAAUCGGAAUUACUGGGCGUAAAGCGUGCGCAGGCGGUUAUGUAAGACAGGUGUGAAAUCCCCGGGCUUAACCUGGGAACUGCAUUUGUGACUGCAUAGCUAGAGUACGGUAGAGGGGGAUGGAAUUCCGCGUGUAGCAGUGAAAUGCGUAGAUAUGCGGAGGAACACCGAUGGCGAAGGCAAUCCCCUGGACCUGUACUGACGCUCAUGCACGAAAGCGUGGGGAGCAAACA
This 427-nucleotide ribosomal RNA is filed under the name uncultured Caenimonas sp. RNAcentral describes it as "bacterial SSU rRNA". It matches the Rfam family "Bacterial small subunit ribosomal RNA", at positions 355 to 774 of the family's 1533-position model. The record is from RNAcentral. Lineage: Bacteria; Pseudomonadati; Pseudomonadota; Betaproteobacteria; Burkholderiales; Comamonadaceae.